Molecule: RNA transcript, 1352 nt
Organism: Spodoptera frugiperda (fall armyworm)
Lineage: Eukaryota; Metazoa; Arthropoda; Insecta; Lepidoptera; Noctuidae
Gene name: mitochondrial ribosome-associated GTPase 2
Exons: 8
Source: RefSeq, a predicted model, not a curated record
CUGUCAAAAUCACAAUAUGAAACUGACAGCAGUAGUUUCAUAACAAGAACAUAACCUCAAAACUACAGAUAUAAACGAAAAAAUGCGAUUAAUUAACUUAUUCAAGUCUUUGAAACUUAGUUCUCAAGUGCAGAUUGUGCGUUGUAGUUCUGAAUAUGUGCCGAAAGCGUUGCGGAGUUUGAAAGCGAAGUCUACACGGAAUACGGUGCAGUUUUAUGUGGAUGCCUUCAGAGUGCGAGCAGUUGGUGGCUCAGGCGGCGAUGGCUGUAUAUCAUUCUUGAGUGCGUGGUGUAAGGACCACGCAGGACCUGACGGAGGAGACGGCGGGAACGGCGGCCAUGUUAUUUUUCAGGCGACAUAUGCUGCGAAGAGCCUGAACCACUGCAAGUCCCUAGUGCAGGCGCGGCCGGGCGAGCGCGGGUACAAUAAGGAGUGCAAUGGGAAGAAUGCACAGCACGUCAUCGUGCCUGUACCUAUUGGUACCAUAAUCCGGGACGAGACAGGGCGUGUAGUGGGCGACCUGAGUUCCGAGGGGGUGAUGUUCGUAGCGGCGAGGGGGGGCGCGGGGGGAAGGGGGAACAAGUUCUUCCUCACUGACACUGAACAGGCGCCGAGUGUGGCGGAGUUGGGCGCGGCGGGCGAGGCCAACGUGUAUACGCUGGAAGUACGGUCCAUGGCCCACGUGGGGCUGCUCGGGUACCCCAACGCCGGUAAGAGCACGUUACUCCGCGCGUUGACCCGCGCGCGCCCCACCGUGGCCCCCUACCCCUUCACCACGCUGCGCCCGCAUAUAGGAAUGGUGCCAUAUGAUGACUACGAGCAGGUAGCGAUAGCUGACUUACCGGGUUUGAUUCCCGGCUCGCACAAGAACUAUGGUUUAGGUAUCCAAUUCCUCCAACACGCCGAACGCUGCCGAGGCCUUAUAUACCUACUGGACGGGGCGCAGGACCCUGAAGACCAGUACGAGGUGCUUCGCUAUGAGCUCUCUCAGUACAGCGGAGCCCUAGCGCUCCGCCCCUCAACGCUAGUUGUAAACAAGAUAGAUCUACCCGAAGCAAGAAAGGUGUUUGAGAGAGCGAAAGAGAAAUUGCCUGUAAUAGGCGUGUCAGCGAAGACUGGACUGAAUUUGGAUGUUUUAUUGCAACUUGUUAGAAAAAUGUAUGAUGGGAAUAGUUAAUCGUUUUUCUUUUAUUUAUUCAAAGUCAAAGUCAUAAUUGUUUAUUUCAAAUAGACCAGGGGCCUUAGUCUACUAUUACAAUUGGACGGAGCUAUACAACCUACAUAGCUCCGUCCCUCUCGCACUGCUCAGUGAUCGACCAUUCUGACACAAUUGUAAUAGCAGACUAAGGCCC